AGGGCGUAUGGUGGAUGCCUUGGCAGACAGUACCGAUGAAGGACGUUUGAGGCUGCGAUAUGCCUCGGGGAGCCGCCAGCAGGGCUUUGAUCCGAGGAUUUCCGAAUGGGGGAACCCGCCGGCCGUCAUGGGCCGGCACCGCGUUCGCGCGGGGGGUACGCAGGGAAGUGAAACAUCUCAGUACCUGCAGGAAAGGAUGUUCCGUGAGUAGUGGCGAGCGAAAGCGGAUCAGGCCAAACCGCGCGCGUGUGACAGGCGCCAGCCGUUGCGCGCGUGGUGUUGAGGGAGCGUGUGUCCGGGUCCUGGCGGGCCCGGCCGGAGUGAUAAAACGGCGUGUGAGGCGAACCGGAUUGAAUGCCGGGCCGCAGAGGGUGAUGGCCCCGUAGCCGAACGCGCGUCGUCUCCGGAUCGUGUCUCCCAAGUAGCGCGGGACUCGUGGAAUCCCGUGUGAAUCCGCCCCGACCGUGGGGUAAGCCUAGAUAUACCUGUCUGACCGAUAGCGAACUAGUACCGUGAGGGAAAGGUGAAAAGCACCCCGGGAGGGGAGUGAAACAGUCUCUGAAACCGUGCGCUUACAAACCGUCGGAGCCUUUCGGGGUGACGGCGUGCCUAUCGAAAAAUGAGUCUGCGAGUCAGUGGCACGUGGCGAGCGUAACCCGUGUGGGGUACGCGUAGCGAAGGCGAGUCUCAAAAGGCGUUUGAGUCGCGUGUCCUGGACCCGAAGCGGGAUGAUCUAGCCCUGAGCAGGUUGAAGCGCGGGUAAGACCGCGUGGAGGACCGAACCCACCUGGGUUGAAAACCGGGGGGAUGACUUGGGGUUAGGGGUGAAAGGCCAAUCAAAUUCCGUGAUAGCUGGUUCUCUCCGAAAUGCAUUUAGGUGCAGCGUCGGGGAUUACGUCCGGGGGGUAGAGCUACUGGAUGCUUGAGGGCCCGUAUCGGGUACCGACAGCAGCCAAACUCCGAAUACCCGUGACGCGUAUCCCGGCAGUGAGUCGGCGGGGGAUAAGCUCCGUCGUCGAAAGGGAGACAGCCCAGAUCGUCGUCUAAGGUCCCCAAGCGCGUGCUAAGUGGGAAAGGAUGUGGAGUCGCAUAGACAGCCAGGAGGUUGGCUCAGAAGCAGCCACCCUUGAAAGAGUGCGUAACAGCUCACUGGUCUAGUGGUUCCGCGCCGACAAUGUAGCGGGGCUCAAGCACGCCACCGAAGACGCGGCAGCGUCCGUCUGGAUGCUGGGUAGGAGAGCGUCCCCAUCGGGGCGAAGCGGCGGCGCAAGCCUGCCGUGGACCGUUGGGGAGUGAGAAUGCAGACAUGAGUAGCGAGAGGCGGGUGCGAAUCCCGCCCGCUGGAUGACCAAGGGUUCCGGGGCCACGUUCGUCGUCCCCGGGUGAGUCGGGUCCUAAGGCGAGGCCGACAGGCGUAGUCGAAUGGAUGAACGGGCUGAUAUUCCCGUACCGGCAGCGAACCGAAACAACCGAGGCCUGGGGCGCUAACCUCCGGGUCCGUGCCGCCUCCCCUUUCGGGGGGUCGCGGCGCGGGCGCGUUGGGAUCCCCCCUCGUAGUAGGUCAGCGCAGGAGUGACGCAUCAGGGCAGCCGGCCGCGGAGGUGGUUUUCCGUGGUCAAGCGUUCGAGCCCGUCCCGCAGGCAAAUCCGCGGGGCGUCGGGGCGAGGCGUGAUGAUGGGGGCCUUACGGCCCGAAUCCGGUGAUCCGUGGUGCCGAGAAAAGCUUCGGCGUCAGGCGCGUUGCCGCCCGUACCCCAAACCGACACUGGUGGUCAGGUAGAGAAUACCAAAGCGAUCGAGCGAAUCCUGGUCAAGGAACUCGGCAAAUUGCUCCCGUGCCUUCGGCAUAAGGGAGACCCCCUGCGGUGAUGAGCGGCGGGGGGUGGCACAGGCCAGGGGGUAGCGACUGUUUACCAAAAACACAGGAGCGUGCGAAGGCGCAAGCCGCUGUAUACGCUCUGACGCCUGCCCGGUGCCGGAAGGUUAAGAGGAUCCGUCAGCUUUUGCGAAGCGGUGAAUUCAAGCCCCGGUAAACGGCGGUGGUAACUAUAACCAUCCUAAGGUAGCGAAAUUCCUUGUCGGGUAAGUUCCGACCUGCACGAAUGGCGUAACGACUUCCCCACUGUCUCGACCAGGAGCUCGGCGAAAUUGCAGUACGAGUAAAGAUGCUCGUUAAGCGCAGAAGGACGAAAAGACCCCGGGACCUUUACUAUACCUUGGUAUUGGCAUUAGGCGCGGAUUGUGUAGCAUAGGCGGGAGGCUUCGAGGCGGGUGCGC
RNAcentral lists this ribosomal RNA (2276 nucleotides) under human gut metagenome. RNAcentral describes it as "bacterial LSU rRNA". It matches the Rfam family "Bacterial large subunit ribosomal RNA", at positions 14 to 2171 of the family's 2925-position model. The record is from RNAcentral.